Molecule: long non-coding RNA, 489 nt
Organism: Clupea harengus (Atlantic herring)
Lineage: Eukaryota; Metazoa; Chordata; Actinopteri; Clupeiformes; Clupeidae
Source: Ensembl
CUGAGGCAACGAAAUGCAGUUUAGCAUCCAACCAGAAGUGCAAAAUAGCAAAAAGUGCAGAGUAUGUGCAUAUGUAAAGUGUAAUAAGUGAAUAAAUAGAUAUGUACAGUAAGAAAUAGAUAUGCAAUAUGAACAGUAAUUGGGACUAGCAGCAAUUGAGGUAAGAAGUGUAGGUAUGAUAAGUAUAUGUAAAGUGCAGGUGUAAGUAUUAGUGGUGGUAAUAAGUGAGAUGAAGUGAAAGAGGUAUUAGUAAUAUUAUAUUUAAGAGGUAAGAAGUGUAGGUAUGAUAAGUAUAUGUAAAGUGCAGGUGUAAGUAUUAGUGGUGGUAGUAAGUGAGAUGAAGUGAAAGAGGUAUUAGUAAUAUUAUAUUUAAGAGGUAUUGUAUGUUAUAAGUAUGAUUAAGACAGUAAUAAGUGGUAGAAAAAAAAACAUUCUGGUGCAAAUGUUCAGUGGCUGGAGGAGGGUGUGGCAGUCAAGUCAGGGUGGAGG